UACGUAGGGUCCGAGCGUUGUCCGGAAUUAUUUGGGCGUAAAGGGCUCGUAGGCGGUUUUGUCGCGUCGGGGAGUGAAAACCAGGUGCUUAACACCUGGCCUGCUUUUCGAUACGGGCAGACUAGAGGCAUUCAGGGGAGAACGGAAUUCCUGGUGUAGCGGUGAAAUGCGCAGAUAUCAGGAGGAACACCGAUGGCGAAGGCAGAUCUCUGGGCCGUAACUGACACUGAGGAGCGAAAGCAUGGGGAGCGAACAGG
RNAcentral lists this ribosomal RNA (257 nucleotides) under uncultured bacterium. RNAcentral's name for it is "partial 16S ribosomal RNA". It matches the Rfam family "Bacterial small subunit ribosomal RNA", at positions 524 to 776 of the family's 1533-position model. The record is from RNAcentral.